This is an RNA transcript of Sapajus apella (tufted capuchin), 1784 nucleotides long. It is a transcript of the gene named solute carrier family 25 member 47, with no coding region annotated. The record is from RefSeq and is a predicted model, not a curated record. The transcript is spliced from 6 exons. Lineage: Eukaryota; Metazoa; Chordata; Mammalia; Primates; Cebidae.
GGGGCCAGCUGGGAGCUAUUGAGGCCACCCCGGUGGCACCAGAGCCCUCUCAGGCAGGCAGACCCAGGGCCUCCCCACCACACUUUGUUCAUGGAUUUUGUCGCUGGAGCCAUUGGAGGCGUCUGCGGUGUUGCUGUGGGCUACCCCCUGGACACGGUGAAGGACCUGCUGACCUUGCCCUAGGCCUGGAGCUGCCCCUGCCUGAAGCCCACUUCUCCUGCAGGUCAGGAUCCAGACGGAGCCAAAGUACACAGGCAUCUGGCACUGUAUCCGGGAUACGUAUCACAGAGAGCGCGUGUGGGGCUUCUACCGGGGCCUCUCGCUGCCCGUCUGCACAGUGUCCCUGGUCUCCUCUGUGUCUUUUGGCACCUACUGCCACUGCCUGGCACACAUCUGCCGGCUCCGGUACGGCAGCCCCGACGCCAAGCCCGCCAAGGCCGACAUCACGCUCUCAGGAUGUGCCUCUGGCCUUGUCCGCGUGUUCCUGACAUCGCCCACUGAGGUGGCCAAAGUCCGCCUGCAGACGCAGACACAGACGCAGCAGCGGCGGCUCUCGGCCUCGGGGCCCUCAGGUGUGCCCCCUGCCUGCCCAGAGCCCAAGUACCGCGGGCCGCUGCACUGCCUGGCCACCGUGGCCCGUGAGGAGGGGCUGCGCGGCCUCUACAAGGGCAGCUCGGCCCUGCUCUUGCGGGACGGCCACUCCUUUGCCACCUACUUCCUCUCCUACGCCGUCCUCUGCGAGUGCCUCAGCCCCGCUGGCCACAGCCACCCAGAUGUCUUGGGUGUGCUGGUGGCCGGGGGCUGUGCAGGGGUCCUGGCCUGGGCUGUGGCCACCCCCAUGGAUGUGAUCAAGUCGAGACUGCAGGCCGACGGGCAGGGCCAGCGGCGCUACCGGGGCCUCCUGCACUGCGUGGUGACCAGCGUGCGCGAGGAGGGGCCCCGGGUCCUCUUCAAGGGGCUGCUGAUCAACUGUGGCCGCGCCUUUCCCGUCAACAUGGUGGUCUUUGUCGCCUAUGAAGCGGUGCUGAGGCUCACCCGAGGUCUGCUCACAUAGCUGGUCCCCACGCCCAGAGGCCCACCUUCUGGCAGCUGCCAGAGGUCAUAGUGGCUGGAGGAGGCCAGAGGGCGCGUGGCUGGGGUCAGGACCCCACAAGGCCAUUGCCCAGGACAACGGGGAGCCUCCCUGUAGUGCGUUGGCCGAGGCCUGAGCUUGGCCUGCCCAGCUACUGACCUCAGGUCGAGGGGCCCCCCAGCCAUCAGCCCAGGGUUGGCCUGCGGUGGCAGGAGCCGGGGAGGAGUGGGCCCCUUUGAUGAGGGCAUGUGUCUCAUGGAGUCAGUUGUUCAUUCCAGCUUCCCCAUUGCCCCCGUCUCCCAUAUCUUUGGAGCACCCCUCCAGGGAGUCAGGUGUGCGCUCAGCCACCCUCUGCCCUGUUCCCAGACCCUCGCCCACACUGCUGUUCCUGUGUCUUCAUGAACCAUCCCUUGUAGGCAGGGGCUCCCCACAGGCUGGGGGCCUCAGGAUGGGGAGCAGGAGCUGGGCUGGCACCACGACUGAGGGCUCCAGGCCCAGCUCGUUCCCUGCAGCAGGCUACUCCAGGAGGGCACUGCUGGGGCUGCCAUGCCCACCUGGCAGGUGCCUGGGGUGGCCAUCCUAGCCUGGUUAGGGAAUUUGGGGUGAGGUUCCUCAGGAGCCCUCACUCUGCCUGUGGAUGCUGCACCUGCCACUUAAAGACCCCGAAGACUGUUGGGAACUGUUGUCAAUAAAAUGUUUCUGAGGAUGUUCA